GGAUCCAGACUUUGAUCCUGGCUCAGGAUGAACGCUAGCUACAGGCUUAACACAUGCAAGUCGAGGGGCAGCGGGAUUGAAGCUUGCUUCAAUUGCCGGCGACCGGCGCACGGGUGAGUAACGCGUAUCCAACCUUCCGUACACUCAGGGAUAGCCUUUCGAAAGAAAGAUUAAUACCUGAUGGUAUGAUGAGAUUGCAUGAUAGCAUCAUUAAAGAUUUAUCGGUGUACGAUGGGGAUGCGUUCCAUUAGGUAGUAGGCGGGGUAACGGCCCACCUAGCCAACGAUGGAUAGGGGUUCUGAGAGGAAGGUCCCCCACAUUGGAACUGAGACACGGUCCAAACUCCUACGGGAGGCAGCAGUGAGGAAUAUUGGUCAAUGGACGAGGGUCUGAACCAGCCAAGUAGCGUGAAGGAUGAAGGUCCUACGGAUUGUAAACUUCUUUUAUAAGGGAAUAAACCCUCCCACGUGUGGGAGCUUGUAUGUACCUUAUGAAUAAGCAUCGGCUAACUCCGUGCCAGCAGCCGCGGUAAUACGGAGGAUGCGAGCGUUAUCCGGAUUUAUUGGGUUUAAAGGGAGCGCAGACGGGUCGUUAAGUCAGCUGUGAAAGUUUGGGGCUCAACCUUAAAAUUGCAGUUGAUACUGGCGUCCUUGAGUGCGGUUGAGGUGUGCGGAAUUCGUGGUGUAGCGGUGAAAUGCUUAGAUAUCACGAAGAACUCCGAUUGCGAAGGCAGCACACUAAUCCGUAACUGACGUUCAUGCUCGAAAGUGUGGGUAUCAAACAGGAUUAGAUACCCUGUAGUCCACACGGUAAACGAUGGAUACUCGCUGUUGGCGAUAUACUGUCAGCGGCUUAGCGAAAGCGUUAAGUAUCCCACCUGGGGAGUACGCCGGCAACGGUGCAACUCAAAGGAAUUGACGG
Molecule: ribosomal RNA, 921 nt
Filed under: uncultured Bacteroidota bacterium
Lineage: Bacteria; Pseudomonadati; Bacteroidota
Description: bacterial SSU rRNA
Rfam family: Bacterial small subunit ribosomal RNA
Source: RNAcentral